This 468-nucleotide ribosomal RNA is filed under the name uncultured bacterium. RNAcentral's name for it is "partial 16S ribosomal RNA". It matches the Rfam family "Bacterial small subunit ribosomal RNA", at positions 28 to 507 of the family's 1533-position model. The record is from RNAcentral.
GACGAACGCUGGCGGCGUGCUUAACACAUGCAAGUCGAACGGAAAGGCCCUGCUUUUGUGGGGUGCUCGAGUGGCGAACGGGUGAGUAACACGUGAGUAACCUGCCCUUGACUUUGGGAUAACUUCAGGAAACUGGGGCUAAUACCGGAUAGGAGCUCCUGCUGCAUGGUGGGGGGUGGAAAGUUUCGGCGGUUGGGGAUGGACUCGCGGCUUAUCAGCUUGUUGGUGGGGUAGUGGCUUACCAAGGCUUUGACGGGUAGCCGGCCUGAGAGAGUGACCGGACACAUUGGGACUGAGAUAAGGCACAGACUCCUACGGGAGGCAUCAGUGGGGAAUAUUGCACAAUGGGAGGAAGCCUGAUGCAGCAACGCCGCGUGCGGGAUGACGGCCUUCGGGUUGUAAACCGCUUUCGCCUGUGACGAAGCGUGAGUGACGGUAAUGGGUAAAGAAGCACCGGCUAACUACGUG